RNAcentral lists this ribosomal RNA (352 nucleotides) under Staphylococcus aureus. RNAcentral describes it as "partial 23S ribosomal RNA". It matches the Rfam family "Bacterial large subunit ribosomal RNA", at positions 1 to 346 of the family's 2925-position model. The record is from RNAcentral. Lineage: Bacteria; Bacillati; Bacillota; Bacilli; Caryophanales; Staphylococcaceae.
GAUUAAGUUAUUAAGGGCGCACGGUGGAUGCCUUGGCACUAGAAGCCGAUGAAGGACGUUACUAACGACGAUAUGCUUUGGGGAGCUGUAAGUAAGCUUUGAUCCAGAGAUUUCCGAAUGGGGAAACCCAGCAUGAGUUAUGUCAUGUUAUCGAUAUGUGAAUACAUAGCAUAUCAGAAGGCACACCCGGAGAACUGAAACAUCUUAGUACCCGGAGGAAGAGAAAGAAAAUUCGAUUCCCUUAGUAGCGGCGAGCGAAACGGGAAGAGCCCAAACCAACAAGCUUGCUUGUUGGGGUUGUAGGACACUCUAUACGGAGUUACAAAGGACGACAUUAGACGAAUCAUCUGGA